AUUUCAUUAUCUUCCCAUGCAAUGUAACCUUUUUUGGAUUUUGACUAUUUUCUACUUUUGAAGUCAUUCUUAGUGAGUUUUGGACAAUCCGUUUUCAUGUGUCAUUACUUUCCACAUUCAUAGCAAGUGACAUUUGGUGUUGAAGUGGAAAUAUCCCUUUUUCUGAAAAAUUUCUUUCUUUUUUCAUAAUUCAAGGAUUUUUCAUUAUUACCAAAU
RNAcentral lists this long non-coding RNA (216 nucleotides) under Lathyrus oleraceus (garden pea). Its description in RNAcentral is "Pisum sativum (pea) long non-coding RNA (PSAT_LNC027388)". The record is from RNAcentral. Lineage: Eukaryota; Viridiplantae; Streptophyta; Magnoliopsida; Fabales; Fabaceae.